CCUACGGGGAGCAGCAGUGGGGAAUAUUGGGCAAUGGGCGCAAGCCUGACCCAGCACCGCCGCGUGAAGGAAGAAGGCUUUCGGGUUGUAAACUUCUUUUCUCAGGGACGAAGCAAGUGACGGUACCUGAGGAAUAAGCCACGGCUAACUACGUGCCAGCAGCCGCGGUAAUACGUAGGUGGCAAGCGUUAUCCGGAUUUACUGGGUGUAAAGGACGUGUAGGCGGGGACGCAAGUCAGAUGUGAAAACCACGGGUUCAACCGGUGGCCUGCAUUUGAAACGGUGUUUCUUGCGUGCUGGAGAGGCAGACGGAAUUCCUAGGGUAGCGGGGAAAUGCGGAGAUAUUAGGAGGAACACCAGUGGCGAAGGCGGUCUGCUGGACAGCAACUGACGCUGAGGCGCGAAAGCGUGGGGAGCAAACAGGAUUAGAUACCCCUGUAGUC
This 443-nucleotide ribosomal RNA is filed under the name uncultured bacterium. RNAcentral's name for it is "partial 16S ribosomal RNA". It matches the Rfam family "Bacterial small subunit ribosomal RNA", at positions 338 to 795 of the family's 1533-position model. The record is from RNAcentral.